RNAcentral lists this long non-coding RNA (932 nucleotides) under Nicotiana benthamiana. Its description in RNAcentral is "long non-coding RNA (NBEN_LNC019998)". The record is from RNAcentral. Lineage: Eukaryota; Viridiplantae; Streptophyta; Magnoliopsida; Solanales; Solanaceae.
AAAAGUAGCGCCAAUUCAUUCAUACAAUAACAAACAAGAACAGAUUUAAGGCACAAGAGUUAGAAAUGAACCUCAAAAGAUGACUUCUGUCAAUUAAUUUUUUUUGGCUGGAACGAAUGAUAACGCAAUCGAAAAAAAUACAACAAUUGAAGCUCGAGCAAGAACUGCGAAUCUGUCCGGACAGGACCUCGGACAACAACUCCAACGAUCGAACACCCGUUUCAACUCCAACCCAUUUUGGAAACCAACAUUAAAAGCGACGCCUAAAUUUUCAAUACGUAUCUCAGCGUUUGAAUUCGAAAAUUAAUUUAGACUAGAUUGAAAACUAGAAAAUGAAAAGUUACAGUCAAAAAACAAGACCCAUUUCCCAUGAUUUUUGGAAUGUUUUCACCCUCCCGUUUCCCUCAUUUUUGGACUGAAAAUUAUCACCGGCGCUAGAGAUAGAGGAGUUGUAGGCUGACUGUUGGGUGGUUAGCGGCAUUGCUGGGUAUGUCUAGGUCCGCUAGCUAUGGUUUUUGUUGUUCACGUAUGAAGAAGAUGACGAGGAACAGGGGAGGGGCUGUAUAGUCUGUUGAUGGCUGCUGCUACUGUUCGCUGGUUGUUGUGGAGACGAUGGGGUGGGUGUGUUGUCGGGGGAUGAAGUUGCGACGGCGGGUUGUCGAUGAAGUGAGUCGUGAGUGAGAGUUGAAGAAGCAGCAACGGUUGUUUGGUGUUCUAGGGGUGGGGUGACGAGCUGCUACGGCCGUCGAUGGCUGCUGCCAUGGUGAAGGAGAUGAGUGGUGGUGGAUGGUGGAGGUGGUCGUGUAUGGUUGGUGAUGGUAGCUGGCGGCUUGUAGUCUUAGAUCCUAGGGUUUUGUUGUGUGAGUUACUAAGGAAGGAGAAGGGCAGUCAUGAGAGUGUCUAUUGUUGUCUAGCUAAGGUUUCUCUUGGUU